This 4927-nucleotide long non-coding RNA is filed under the name Sus scrofa (pig). RNAcentral's name for it is "lncRNA (ENSSSCG00000052735.1)". Lineage: Eukaryota; Metazoa; Chordata; Mammalia; Artiodactyla; Suidae. The record is from RNAcentral.
GAGAGACCACUACAUAAAAUAAAAACUCAUUUAGCCAAAAUCCAAUUACUUGUGAUCUUAAAAUACCAGAAUAAUUGUUCCCAGGUUCAAAUCAGAAGAAGAAGCAACAAUGAAACCUACAUAUAUAUUCAGAAACUAACCUUCAGGGUUUCAGUCCAGAUGGAAUGCAAUUGCCCAGACUUUCCUGAUAUACAAUUUUAGUACUUAUAUAGUGAUAAGGGAUGCUCAGAAUUUUAAACUGUAGAACUUGGAAAUACUGUCAGUUAUCAAUUUUUAAGUUCACCAGACUAGAGUUAUUAAAUCUAGAAGAUGGACCCAAACAUUAUAAUGUUUAAUUCAUUUUCAUUAUUUAAAAGAGAAGGGCCCCUUGUUAGAUAAAUUCUCCCAGAUGGAAAACCCCUUCACUAGAUUGUAAACCCCUCAAGGGCAGCGAUGAUAAAUGAUUCAGCUCCAUAUUCCUACACUACCUGGCACUGUUUCUCACAUUCUGGGCUGCUUAGUAAAUAUUGGAUAUAAAUGAAUAAGUGAAUGAAUAAAUAAACAGAUUUUUCUUGGGAUCAGCUUUCCCCAUGUGUCCUGUCCCAUAGUGCCUUUGCCUUUAAGGAUUUAUCUGAGAAUUUUGCUCCCUGACGAAAGGGAGACCAGUGAUGUGUAAGGUACCCCAGGUUUGGGCCAUUGUACACACUUUUCAGAGCUAAUCAGCAAAGCCUUAGCAACUGAGCUGGGGCCUGGAAUGAACACUACUGAGAAUUUAGACCCUUGGAUUUGAGACAGGAACCGCUUCAUCUUUGAAUGUCAGUUUGCUCAUCUGUAAAAUGGGGAUGAUAAGAUGUUCCCUGUCUUCCUUUCAAAGUUGUUGUGAGGAUCAAAUAAAAUAUACAAAAGUACUCUGAAAAUGAUGAAAUCCCCAUUAAAAACAGGAGACAUGAGUUCUCCUCCUAAUUCUGCAACUAAGUGUUGACAUGGCUUUGGUCACAUUCCUUCAUCCUUCUCAGCCCUGAUUUCUUUAAACAAAGGAGGUUGGACCCGCUGCUCUCUAAGGGGUGUUCAGCCCUCACGUUUUGUACACAGAGCAGGGGCACUCCACUCUGGCAAGAGGAAAGCGGAGGUGCUGGAUCAAGUUCUUUCCUGAACAGAAUUGACAGGUCACUUAAUGCUCUUUGACUAUCUAGAGGAAGCAGCCAUUCUAGGCGAUCAAAUUCCAUACUAGAAAGCAGGCCAGAGACAAGUGCCUUGUGUUUGCUUAUUUGUUUUGUUUGUUCGGUGGGGUUUUUUUUGUUUUGUUUUUUGUUUGUUUGUUUGGGGUUUUUUUUUUGGCCAUAUCUGUGGAAUGUGGAAGUUCCUGGGGCAGGGAUCAAACCCGAGCCUCAGCAACCCAAGCCUCUGCAGUGACAAUGCCAGAUCCUUAAUUUGGUGCACCACAAGGGAACUCCCCCAAAAUGCAAUGUGAAUGGUCAGGAGCCCUGCAUUUGGUCCCCACAGAGUUUUUUUAAUAUAUAAUAAUUUUUAUUUUUUCCAUUAUAGCUGGUUUACAGCAUUCUGUCAAUUUUCCGCUGUACAGCAAGGGGACCCAGUCAUACAUACAUGUAUACAUUCUCACAUUAUCAUGCUCCAUCAUAAGUGACUAGAUAUUGUUCUCAGUGCUAUACAGCAGGAUCUCAUUGCUUAUCCAUUCCAAAGGCAAUAGUUUUCAUCUAUUAACCCUAAAUUCCCAGUCCAUCCCACUCCUUUCCCCUCACCCUUGGCAACCACAAGUCUUUUCUCCAAGUCCAUGAGUUUCUUUUCUGUGGAAAGGUUCAUUUGUGCAGUGUAUUAGAUUCCAGAUAUUAGUGAUAUCAUAUGGUAUUUGUCUUUCUCUUUCUGAUUGACUUCACUUAGGUCCCCACAGAGCUUUAAUUGGGAGUUAUAGAUGUUUAGAAACAAAACAAAGCACUCACAGAAAACUAAGAAACAGUUAGUGAUGUUUUCAGGCACCUGCUUACUCAGAAGCUGUGUUAAGCAUUUAAAGUACGGUAUCUCCUUUAGGCCUCACAACAAAUUUUCAUACUAAUUAUUAUACCUAUUUUCCAGAUAAGAGCUCACUGGGAUUCAGAGAUGUCACCUUACUUGAUGAAGGAUUUAAACUCAGGACUGUUCGGCUUCCUUGCUUUUCCUCACAUGAUGCCAAAUCCUACUGUGCCCAAACCAGAGAGAAAAGAGUUCCGAAGAAGAGCUGCAAACCCCAGGAGGUAACAGCUGUGACACUGUCCAUGACCCUCAGUCUGCACAAAACACAAGAGGGAAGAACACCAAAUCAAAGCUCCGGGGCCUUCUUGGAGACUCUAGAAACUGACCUUGGCGAGCACCAACUUCAGACGGAAAAUACACACCAUGCAACCGGUUUCUUCCGUUUUUCCAGGCUGCCGCCUUCCAAGUUCACAGUUCUGAGUUACCAGUUCCCUGGAGGGAAUUUCUAAAUUACUCAAUUCCCUUUGCCUGUACUUAUAUCCUAAUGAUAGGACAUUAAGAUGCAAAUUAAACAGAAACUUAGUAAGCAAAUCAUGCUACUUUCUAAGGGAUACAUCAAUAAAGGCUGGAGAGGCACUGCACUGUUGCCAAACCCCAAGAACUGAUUUCAAAGGCCCACCUGUGAGCCUGGGGCACACAAGGCGUCAGAAAUUCUCUCUUUCCAACCAUAGGGUCAGGGUUUUUUUUUUUUUUUUUUUCCUUCCAGUGAAUGAACUUGCUGAUAUUCUCCUUUCCUUCCAGUGGUGAUGGGGCAAGUGUGUGGGUCCCCAAGGGUACUGAGGUUCUCUGACCAUGGUUUAUAAGCUGACAAAGGGGGACAUAAUCUCCUCCUGGUAAAAUACUUCCACCGCAGAAAUGGGGCUCAAUUUCUGCUUGACAUUUUUACUGGUGCCAUUUGUCUCUUCCUUCUGUUUUCCUAUUUUUCCUCCCAACAACUGGUUAUGAUCCCCUAAAUUAAGCUCCUUUUUUGCUUGUGUUGGAGCUCAUCCAUAUAAAAAGCCACCCCAUUAAGGUCCUUGGCUUCUAAAACCAAAUUUACUUCAGUCACUAUGUCUUAGAUCAAAUGGUUAUUUACAUGAUUCAGCAAGUCUGGCUCUUAGUCAAGGACUGGUACAGGAAACAGGAGAAGCUUGAUAAAUGUUUGAUUGUGGAAUACGACAAUCCCCUAGAUUUCACCAUCAAAUUAUUACUAACAUGUCUGUGCGCCUACAAAACCAGAAGCCCUGGGCUCUAGUUAUAAUUCAGCCCAGUGUGAUCCUGGUCAACUCAUUCCCUUCUUACAGGGCCUUACUUUCUUCACCUAUAGAAUGACGAGGGUGGUGUUCCCUGAAGUUCUUUCCAGAUUAAGUUCUGUGAGGACAGGGCCCAGAUCUGUCACGCUCACUUCUGCCAAAAUCUAAAUCUGCAGAGUCUAACACAUAUCUAGACUAUAGCAGAUGCUCAGUGAAUACUGGAAGUAAAAAUUUUAAAUGCUGUGAUUCUGGCCAUUGUAAAUUGAUGCCAUUGUUAAAUUAUAAACUUGUUUUUGCUGCUAAAAACAAAACUGUUCAUGAUUAUUUUAAGUUUUUCUGAUUUUCUUCUACCUGGGACUCAAAUGCUUCUCUGCACAAUUUCUGGAAGCUUUUGAGGCCUUCCACAAACAAAACACCAUACCUACCUCCAAUCUGACUCACAGGAUUCUUAAAGUGUUUCCCAACACAUCAGAUGACUAACACAAAGACGGUAGGGUUUUACAAGGCAGCAAAGACAGCGCGCCAAAAUGAUGAAUUCAAGUCAGUGACCAUUGUACAACUAUAACUGUAAUAAAUUCAUUGAGUAAUAAAACAAAAAAGUCAAUUCAUCUAAAAAAAAAAAAAAGCACUUAUUGGAUACACAUUGAGAUGCCUGAUAUGUAAAGUGAGUUUGUGGAGGAGGUAAGUACCAGGAGAGCCAUGUCUCCAUUUCUUGGAGUUUCAAAGACCCAGGAAAUGACCGUAUGACUCACACAACUCCUGGAUCAUAUAUUUAGAGACAGCUGCAGUGUUCACCACUUUUCUGGAGGUCUUUAUCACAUUCACCAUCAGUUUAUACAAAGUUAUACAUACACCAUUCAGUUUAGCUCCUGAUCAUAACAUUGCCUGGUGCUUUUUCUCAUUUAUUUGUCUUAUCUAAGUUGGGGAUUUUUAGAACUAGGAACCAGAGAUGAGUUUCUAAAAGCAGGGCCAUGGGUGUUGAGAGUUACAUCCCAAAUUUUAUGUGUGUGGGCUUUUUUCCAAGAAAGGAUUCAUGGCUUUCAAUGGAUUUCCAAGGGGAUCUGUGACUUCAACUCAUUAGGAGCCAGGAUCAUACUUGCCAUUACCUCCCUCUCCCCCAGCGCUUAAUAUUGUACCCACACCCAGUGGGCUCCCAGCCCCCUCUGCUGCUCUGAGCUCUGGGAACGGUUGCUUUAAUUCUAAGAAGGUAUCUUUAUUGAAGAGGAGAGUCCAUGAGCCUCCUUUCACUUCUCCAACAGAGCAGCCAAGUUGAUUGUACAAAUUCCUCAAGUGAACUGAAAAGGCAUGAAAGCAAGCACCAGUUUCUCACAUCAAUUCAAAUACUGAGGAAAAAGGAACACUUUGUCUUCAGAAUACAACUGGAAUGCCUAGGACUUCUUCUUACCAGCUUUCAUGACCCGUAUGGGUGAAGGACCCUGGAUUAAAAGCCUGGGCCAGCCAAGGAAAUAGCUGCACUUGAACUAAACACUGGAUCCAACAGUUUGGGUCCAGUAUUGGGCAGGAAAAGUGGAAGGGAGAGUGUCUGCGAUAAGGGACCAAUGGCCAAGAAGAUGUGCUGAGGGCGGUCAUGCACACUUGACCUUCAAGAUGUAAAACUAGUAAAAAGUAUCUAAUUACUUAAAGCUAUAAAGAGAACUUUAAGGAGUUCAGAAGUAGCACAUCCAGAG